RNAcentral lists this non-coding RNA (99 nucleotides) under Castellaniella defragrans. RNAcentral's name for it is "SAH sequence". It matches the Rfam family "SAH (S-adenosyl-L-homocysteine) riboswitch aptamer". RNAcentral also lists the same sequence under 1 other name. The record is from RNAcentral. Lineage: Bacteria; Pseudomonadati; Pseudomonadota; Betaproteobacteria; Burkholderiales; Alcaligenaceae.
UUGCCCGAGGGGCGCUGCACCGGCGCGGCGGCGGAAUCCGAUGGAUCCCGCCCGCGCCGCCAGGCUCGGGAUUCCUUCUUCAAACGGCGCCCAUCGCCG